CACUGGUGUAUUCCGUCCAAGUGAUGAACUUUCUCAAGACACUAAUCUCAAAGACCCUACGAGAAAGAGAGUAUUCAAUGGUAGAGCCUACAGAGGCAUCCUAUCUGGAGCCUUUUGAUGAUGAUGGAGAUCAGAGGCCUUCCAUCUCCUGCAUUACAUAUACCCAAAAAGAUAAUGAAGAGAAAGAGACCGCAUUUAUAGCUCAAGAACCUUUAGGAGCAAGUUUCAGGAACUAUAGUCAAAACAAUGAGACGGCAGAUGGAGAAGAACACAGUCCCAUACCCUCGGACUACAAACAGAUCUCCGCUGAAAAUACUCCAACUCCGGCUAGAAAUAAUGAUAUUGGUGAGUCAAGUAAUUCAAGUCCGGGGAACAAAAUCAAUCCAUACUUGCUAUUGACAAAGCCAAAGGAAUACGCAACCUGAGCCGCAUAGAUUCA
This 439-nucleotide long non-coding RNA is filed under the name Gossypium barbadense (sea-island cotton). RNAcentral describes it as "long non-coding RNA (GBAR_LNC006131)". The record is from RNAcentral. Lineage: Eukaryota; Viridiplantae; Streptophyta; Magnoliopsida; Malvales; Malvaceae.